This 378-nucleotide ribosomal RNA is filed under the name uncultured organism. RNAcentral describes it as "partial 16S ribosomal RNA". It matches the Rfam family "Bacterial small subunit ribosomal RNA", at positions 527 to 896 of the family's 1533-position model. The record is from RNAcentral.
GUAGGGUCCGAGCGUUAUCCGGAAUCAUUGGGCGUAAAGAGCUCGUAGGCGGUUCAGCAAGUCGGCUGUGAAAGUUCGAGGCUCAACCUCGAAAUUGCAGUCGAUACUGCUGUGACUUGAAUUCGGUAGAGGAGAAUGGAAUUCCCGGUGUAGCGGUGAAAUGCGCAGAUAUCGGGAGGAACACCAGUAGCGAAGGCGGUUCUCUGGGCCGAUAUUGACGCUGAGGAGCGAAAGCGUGGGGGGAGCAAACAGGAUUAGAUACCCUGGUAGUCCACGCCGUAAACCGUUGGAUGCUAGGUGUGGCGGUCUACCCCAACGACUGCCGUGCCGAAGCUAACGCAUUAAGCAUCCCCGCCUGGGAGUACGGCCGCAAGGCUA